Molecule: long non-coding RNA, 283 nt
Filed under: Pongo abelii (Sumatran orangutan)
Lineage: Eukaryota; Metazoa; Chordata; Mammalia; Primates; Hominidae
Description: lincRNA
Source: RNAcentral
UGUGACCCACAAAGAUCAAGGAAUCUAAGCCAGCCAAGGUUAAGCAUGAAUCGAGGAAAGGAAACAGAAAUCCUCUCCCUAGUCCUCUUUCCUCUCUUUUCUCCCCUAGGUACCAGGAGUGUGACAGAGUGGGACAGCUCAGGCAGCUGCAGGUCCUGGCCAGCGCUCUUCCUCACCCAGGCCAUGCAGCAUCAACACAGAACCCCUCUUAAGACAAGCAAAGGAAGUUUCCAACCCAGUUGAGUGCACUUUUCCCAAGUGUGUGGUAAAAAGUUAAAUGACC